Molecule: long non-coding RNA, 512 nt
Organism: Seriola aureovittata
Lineage: Eukaryota; Metazoa; Chordata; Actinopteri; Carangiformes; Carangidae
Exons: 3
Source: RefSeq, a predicted model, not a curated record
UUAAUAACCUGCUGCAGAGACUUCCUGUCCUGUGCACAUAACAUGCCAGUUUGUGAUGUUUCCAGUUUAGAUGCUUUCCAUUGCUCCUCUGUUACAGUUAACAAGAACUUGGCACAGGAAUGCAGGAGAGAGGCCCCUCCUGGCAUAUCAUCCCACAACACCAUGGUCUUUUUAAUUUCAUGGUUGAAGUGUGUCACGGUCCUGGUCUGGGCUCCAGGUCCUCCCAGGUUCCACUCCACUCCUCCUCCUGACCGCUGCAGCCUGCACACCUGAGUUCCAUCACCUUGUCAGCCCAGCAGUAUUUCAUCCCUGGUUUCACAGUCACUCUUUGCCAGAUUAUACAGUCUACCUGAGUGGAUUAUUCAUCUCUUUUCUGCCUGCCUUAUCUCCGGUUCCAUCCUGCCCUUCCCUGACGGAUCACACUGAGUCACUCACCCCCUGUCUGCCCCUUUGCCACCUCUUCAGCCCAGCAGCCUCUAGUCCUGAACCUCUGCUCCACCAUUCCUCACCUG